This 464-nucleotide ribosomal RNA is filed under the name uncultured bacterium. RNAcentral's name for it is "bacterial SSU rRNA". It matches the Rfam family "Bacterial small subunit ribosomal RNA", at positions 924 to 1391 of the family's 1533-position model. The record is from RNAcentral.
CACAAGCGGUGGAUGAUGUGGUUUAAUUCGAUGCAACGACGAAAAACCUUACCUACCCUUGACAUGUCUGGAAUCCUGAAGAGAUUUGGGAGUGCUCGAAAGAGAACCAGAACACAGGUGCUGCAUGGCCGUCGUCAGCUCGUGUCGUGAGAUGUUGGGUUAAGUCCCGCAACGAGCGCAACCCUUGUCAUUAGUUGCUACGAAAGGGCACUCUAAUGAGACUGCCGGUGACAAACCGGAGGAAGGUGGGGAUGACGUCAGGUCCUCAUGGCCCUUAUGGGUAGGGCUACACACGUCAUACAAUGGCCGGUACAGAGGGCUGCCAACCCGCGAGGGGAGCCAAUCCCAGAAAACCGGUCGUAGUCCGGAUCGCAGUCUGCAACUCGACUGCGUGAAGUCGGAAUCGCUAGUAAUCGCGGAUCAGCUUGCCGCGGUGAAUACGUUCCCGGGGUCUUGUACACACC